Molecule: ribosomal RNA, 375 nt
Filed under: Triticum aestivum (bread wheat)
Lineage: Eukaryota; Viridiplantae; Streptophyta; Magnoliopsida; Poales; Poaceae
Description: partial small subunit ribosomal RNA
Source: RNAcentral
AUGUCAGUGUGCCUACUUGAUCGAGACCGGAUCGCUUCUUUCUAUGAGAAAAAAAUUCAGGAUGUUCAUGAGCUGCAGGGCGGUCUAGCUAAAUUAUCUUUUGAGUGCCGUCUGGAUCGCUAUCUUGAUCCAUGCGCAUGUGUCUUCUCCCGUCUGUGUGUGAGAGAGUGUAGUUCGUUUGCAUUUGGAAGUUUCGAAAGAAUAACAAGUAGUAUGACUGUACUGUACAUUUAUGUUUGUAAUGAACAAAUAUAUGCCUACAUAAGCCACCGUCCUGCAUUCUUGUUCAGCUUUUUCUUGCUGUUACCGUUGGUACCCGGCAAGUGUCAGCUGCCCAACCUACCUACGACUAAGCGAAGAAAUGGAGGUUUAUAA